AGAUCCUGUACCCUUUAGAGCGUCUUACAAAUAAUUUCUUGGUUAAAAUUGUGAAUGCUCCUCAGCUGUUUAAAAUGUAAAUGAUUGGUUCCUUUGAAAGUUUAGUUUUGUGUGAUUUAAGUGUUUACUUAAUGAGAGUAACAGUUUCAGCCAGACAUAGUGGCAACCACGUAUCUUCCCAGUGAUGCCGAAGGCUGAGGCAGGAGGAUCUCAAGUUUGAGGCCAGCCUGUGCAACUUGAGCAAGGCCUAAGCAAUUUAUUGAGACCUUGUCUCAAAAGUUUAAAAAUUUUGAAAAGUGGUAGUGGAUAGCUCAGUAGUAAAGUGCCCCUGGAUUCUGU
RNAcentral lists this long non-coding RNA (339 nucleotides) under Marmota monax (woodchuck). The record is from RNAcentral. Lineage: Eukaryota; Metazoa; Chordata; Mammalia; Rodentia; Sciuridae.